Molecule: long non-coding RNA, 371 nt
Organism: Lonchura striata (white-rumped munia)
Lineage: Eukaryota; Metazoa; Chordata; Aves; Passeriformes; Estrildidae
Source: RefSeq, a predicted model, not a curated record
CCCCGCGGCUCCCGGCGGGCGCCCGGCGGGUCCCUCCCGGCGCUGCGCGGGGCGAGCCCCGGCUCCUCUGGCCGGCUCGCUCUUUGAGGAAAGUCGCUUGGAGUUUAAGCUGUGAAUGAAAAGCCACUGGAGAAAACUGGUCUGGGGAAUUCACGUACCUGAUAACCAGACUACACACCAGGCUUCAGCAGAGCAAUUGCUGCAUACUGGCUCCCUGUGAGAAAUCAAAGGGCUGCCUGGGCAAGCAGUAUUUAUGAGAUUGUAACAUCCUCUCUUGUCUCGGUAGAGUGAAAUGUGUUUCAGAAAUAGAGUUUAGGCCAAAUCAACUUCUAAUAAAAAACAGAUUCACACUUGGUGAAUCUUUACACUAA